Molecule: non-coding RNA, 274 nt
Organism: Danio rerio (zebrafish)
Lineage: Eukaryota; Metazoa; Chordata; Actinopteri; Cypriniformes; Danionidae
Source: RefSeq, a predicted model, not a curated record
GUAAGUGACCACUAAAGCACUAUAUCCCUUUAAAUAAUUUUAGAGCAUCAGAGCAUGUCACGUGUUUCGGUAGCCUAGGUGACUAAUAGGUUAAUCAGGCUAGCAGGAGCGAAGAGAACACACGUUGCUGUGCGAUUUACGGAAAAAGGAGGCUUAAUCCUGCACAAUUUAUUUAAUAGAACCCUUUGGGAAAGCGGAGCGAGUUUCACGGUGCUACGCAACGAAAGUUUAAUGGCUCUCGUCUUGAGCAUAAUAAAGAAUCAAGCACCCGUCA